Long non-coding RNA from Oxyura jamaicensis (ruddy duck), 4067 nucleotides. RefSeq lists it as uncharacterized. The record is from RefSeq and is a predicted model, not a curated record. Lineage: Eukaryota; Metazoa; Chordata; Aves; Anseriformes; Anatidae. The transcript has 3 exons.
UGUUGCUUAUGUCACACAGUAGAUGAGAGAGCAGUGGCAUAAAAAGAGAAGGUAAUGUGUAGUAAAAUGGAGAGAGCUAUUAAGCGAUUCUUCUCAAAUAGGAAAGUUUACCUUGGAAAAUUCACAUACUAAUCGUAGCUCAGGGACACACACUGUUUUAUUAAAAUGAAAACACGGUACUGCAGAGCAUGAACUAAAUAAAGAAAUGAUCUUGUGCUCCAAUGACCAGCCAUUAUGCUAUGUAAAUACAUGAUCCCAUAUGUGCAAACAGUUGGUAGUAAAAAUUUGUGUAGUUAUUUUAAUGUAGCAAUGUAGAAAGACUAAAAAAAAGACUAAUCAUCUCUUACCUAAUAAAGAACUUACCUAUUUUUAAUAGACUCCACUAGCAAGAGACUAGAUGUGUAUAAACUGGUAUAACUGUCAGUACCAGCGUGGGUUCUCUUACCCAUCAACAACUAAAGUUUUUCUACAAAUAACCCUCAACCAUCAGAGUGAAAUCUAGAUUUUGUGUCCUACCAGAAGUUCUGACAUUCCAGGAGUUAUUUUUGGUAUGGAAAUGUAAAAGUGUUUCCUUGCAAUUCAAAGCCAGAGAGGGUCCUGGAUAUUUCUGGAAUAACAUUUCCCAACAUUGUUCUGUUGACCACUUAGAGGCACAUCCGUGUUACAUUUCAUUCCCUUAUUCUAUUGUUGAUUGAGCAGCUCAGGGCAGAUGCACUCAAUCUUGCACAAUACACAGUGGACUCUCCCUCCCUUCUCACAGUGUUUGCAAUUGCCUCGACUCAGAAUCCUCCCACACUGUGACCUCAGCUGACCAAGCAAGCUGUAAUAAUAGCUUUCUUCUUUGAGUGAGUAUUCAUUUUUCAGGAUAAUCAUGACGAUUAAAGCCUACCUGUGUUUUGCGCAGGAAAUAAAAAAUAGCCAGUGUUAUAAAAUUCUGAAGAAUGUUACCAUUAAAGCUACAAUAAGCAAGAAAAAUAAAAUUGCAGGCUCUCAGUCCUCUUUCUGGCAUUGCCCCACCGUGGUGCAGUAUCAGUUAAAACACUGGGCUUAUGGAGUUUUGUACUUUUCUGGUUUUAAACUGCUUUGGAAUUUUUGAAUGAAAUCUCCAUUCUUUCCACUUAACAUUUUUGUAUUCGGUGUAUCUCUAAUGCUGUAUUAAUUAAUUCCACCCUUAGAAUAAAAUGCUAAUAUAGUGAAGUGACCAUGGGGUUGUAUCUUUGUACACCAAUAGAGUUCACUAUUGUUUUACUGUUGUUGAAACUCAGAAGUGCAGGAAUAAAUAUAACCUUGUGAAUCUUGUGCACUGGGAGGGAAUAAUAAAAUUCUAUUUUUGAAGUUAAAAUAGAUAGCAGUAUAAAACAUAAGAUACAAACUGAUUGCUUUAUUCUUUUUGUAACUUCACGGAGUACCAAAAAUUUAGUUCAUAGUUUUAAUUGCAGGGUUGAUACAGGAAUCUUGUUAGCUGUCCUCAGUUCCUUCCAAAUUAUAUAUCUGGGGGUGUGUGUCUGAAAUGCAGUCACAAUAUCAUGUCAUUUUUUAGACUUUUUUUAGACGGGGAUGAAUUGGUCUGAAAUAGCAGAGCUCCAUAAUGAUCAGUCUGGUUUCAUACAUAUUGAGCAAAUACACAUCCAAGCUAGCAGCUCUGAGUGUGAGGGUAGCCUUCUAAUCCACCGACCAUUAAGGCAAAGCAGAGAGCACAUGAAACUCUUCUCUUUAUGGUGAUGUUAAUCUCAAUAUUUCUGGUUUUUAUCUUCAGAAUGCUAUUCUUCAAUGGCUCAAUGCAUAUUCUGUGAAACAAAAUCCAGUGUAUUUCCAGUCAGUAUGAAAAACUGAGCCGAGAUGGAAUUGAAGUUCAAAACUUGCUAACCACAACAUGCAUCAGUUACCACUUACGUACUGAAACUGGGUAUCUGCUGUGUUACUUUUUGGUUUUCUAGGAACCCAGAAUUACGAUUCUGUGCCUGGCAAAACCACACCAGUAUACGCAGCUUAUCGCAUAAACCUGCAUAAACUCACUGCAGGAAUGAGACAGUCUUCCAUUACCUGGUGGCAGUGGAUGUUAUUUGCUGGCAGUCCUCCCACAGAAGCGGCUCGGAAAGCACCAUCAGGCUGCUGAGGCCAAAACCACGGUGUGCUGGGGCUGGGGGCCUGUGAGGUGGAGUGCGGAUAGGAUUCAGUUGCUGUGGAUGUUUCGGGAUUUGGGGGUUAAACUUAAACCUCCUUUGGUGGAGGGAACCUUUGAAUCGGAGCGCAGCAUUUGCUUAGGGCAUGGUUCAACCACUGGGCUACAAUAUAAAAUACAGGACACCUAGCACCUAAAAGUUGUUUAGGUUAUAAAUUUAUGCAACUAUUAGCUGCUAGGUGGGGAAGGACACCUGACUUCACAGACUCUGUGUGUUUUCAAGCUCUCACCCCAUCUGACAAAAUUCUUAACAUAUUUCAGUUUUACACCUCGAUUCUUAACUUGUUCAGGUGCAGAACAGGAUGUGAAUUGACUGAACAGCAUUUGUGAGCAUCAUUAUCUGGUUGAUGAACCAGGUUCCUUCUUGAGAAAGAGAUGCUGGAACUGUAACCAGCCAAAUGCUGCUGAAGCUUUUUCUACAUAAUUUCUAUUUGAAAUAUUCUUUUCAGUCCUACUGUUUUCUCUCCUACGGUCUGAUAGACCCAAAUCUGUCUUCAGUUUUGCUAUUGCUUUAGAUAUUUCUCUUCCCAUUCUCACUGUAUCCAUGAUGCUUUUUCUUCUUAUGAAUAGAUUGUUCCCCAUCCUAUCAUACUGUUAUUUUGUUGUGCUUUCCUGUUUACAUUUAUAUCUUUCAGAUCAAUCUCCACUUACUUGAACAACAGCUCCCCUUCAAAUCAUAGCGCAGGGGAAGGAAUUUAUCAUUCAAAUAAACACGAAGGAAUGCUUUUAUUUUCUAAUCACAUUUAAAUAUUAGCUCUUCUAAAAAUAACCAAUUUAAGGUACUGUAUGAAAAUACAAGUUGCUAAUGGGUAAUACUUUCAAAUUAUUCUCAAUUUCCUGCAUUCUAGGCCAAGUCCAAUUUAGUUAAUUAUUGGUUGCAUCUUAUUCUGACUGUGCUACAUUUAGAGAGGAAGAGGAAACUGAGACUUUGAUUAAACUUUCAUAACAACUAAUUGCAAACCAAAAAGCAGUAAAAUUCAGUUUUGGAAAAGUAACAAAUUGGAUUUUGCUGUGAUAGUUUUCUUGUGUGGUACAUGCGUAAUAGUGUGAAAUCACUAUGAAAUUGCCAUUGUUCUUCUCCUGUACAGUACCCAGAAAUUCUUUUAAUGCACUCUUUCCAGGUAAUUUACUCUGGAGAGCAAGGAGGUGUUACAACAUGGUAAAAUGAGAUUUCAGUAGAAAACUGUUUCUGAUUUCAGGCCGCUGUUGUGUUCCCACUGGUUAGCAUGGCAGCGGAGGCUGCAGAGGCUUUAAGCUCACAGGGAGGCUGAGUUUUGAGUCGGAUGUUCUGAGGUUCAGAAUGGCAGUGAACUUCCAUGAGGACAAGGAGUAAAAGAUUCUCCCACUGCUGUCUAAUGGGCCUUCAAAAGCACGUUCAUUGUUUCCCUCAGCACACUGUGCUGCGAGGCCUUGCAGAUAGAUUUCUUCUGCUUCCCGAAUCCACGUCUCUGCCCUGCCGGAGAUCAAAAUGAAUGCUGAUUUCAAACUAAUAAACAGGCUGCAUUUUCUGACAGACUAUUCACUGGAGUAAUAUCGUAAUGUAUUUCUUUUGAUGUGUUUGUUUCCCAAGUUGUCAAUUAGCUGGAGAGAAAGUGCCACUCUCCCCACCAUCUUUCUUUCUGUGACCAGAUCCUUUUUGGUACAUCAUUUGUCAAAAUGUCAGUGAUGUAAGCUUGCUGGGGGUUUUUAUGUGUCUGAAAAUAUUCUUAAAGGAUGUUCUUUCAUUAUCUAGUGUACUUUUACACCAAAUGCUUUUGAAGUAAUGUUGUUAGGCUUUGGAAACUUCUGAAGCUGACAACAAAAAAGACUACGUGGAAGUUGAAAUUCUUUUGUUUCAACCGUAACGUUACUUUUUUGCUAUUGUUCAAAUGUGUGACCUGAAAUU